GACGAACGCUGGCGGCGUGCUUAACACAUGCAAGUCGAGCGGUAAGGCCCUUUCGGGGGUACGACGAGCGGCGAACGGGUGAGUAACACGUGGGUGACCUGCCCUCAGCUCUGGGAUAAGCCCGGGAAACUGGGUCUAAUACUGGAUAUGACUCCAUGACGCAUGUUGUGGGGUGGAAAGCCUUGUGCGGCUGAGGAUGGGCCCGCGGCCUAUCAGCUUGUUGGUGGGGGGAU
RNAcentral lists this ribosomal RNA (233 nucleotides) under uncultured bacterium. RNAcentral describes it as "partial 16S ribosomal RNA". It matches the Rfam family "Bacterial small subunit ribosomal RNA", at positions 28 to 261 of the family's 1533-position model. The record is from RNAcentral.